RNAcentral lists this ribosomal RNA (714 nucleotides) under Apiospora hydei. RNAcentral's name for it is "Arthrinium hydei partial large subunit ribosomal RNA". It matches the Rfam family "Eukaryotic large subunit ribosomal RNA", at positions 194 to 942 of the family's 3401-position model. Lineage: Eukaryota; Fungi; Ascomycota; Sordariomycetes; Amphisphaeriales; Apiosporaceae. The record is from RNAcentral.
AACGGGAAGCUAGAGGGUGAGAGCCCGGUUGGCCAACAAGCCUGUGUAAGCUCCUCGACGAGUCGAGUAGUUGGGAUGCUGCUCAAAUGGGAGGUAUAUUUCUUCUAAAGCUAAAUACUGGCCCAGAGACCGAUAGCGCACAAGUAGAGUGAUCGAAAGAUGAAAAGCACUUUGAAAAGAGGGUAAAUAGCACGUGAAAUUGUUGAAAGGGAAGGAUUUAUGACCAGACUUUUUCUAGGGGGAUCAUCCGGUGUUCUCACCGGUGCACUUCCCCUAGUUGAGGCCAGCAUCGGUUUCUGUCGGGGGAUAAAAGCUUCAGGAAUGUGGCUCCCUUCGGGGAGUGUUAUAGCCUGUUGCAUAAUACCCUGACGGGGACCGAGGUUCGCGCAUUGCAAGGAUGCUGGCGUAAUGGUUAUUAAUCACCCGUCUUGAAACACGGACCAAGGAGUCGAACAUUUGUGCGAGUGUUUGGGUGUUAAACCCUCACGCGUAAUGAAAGUGAACGGAGGUGAGAGCCUUUCGGGGUGCAUCAUCGACCGAUCCUGAUGUCUUCGGAUGGAUUUGAGUAAGAGCAUAACUGUUCGGACCCGAAAGAUGGUGAACUAUGCGUGGAUAGGGUGAAGCCAGAGGAAACUCUGGUGGAGGCUCGCAGCGGUUCUGACGUGCAAAUCGAUCGUCAAAUCUGCGCAUGGGGGCGAAAGACUAAUCGAACCA